GGCUGCGGAGGCCGUCCCGGCGAUGCCGCUGCCGGUCUUGUCGGCCUGCUGCAGCGCGGCGUUCCAGUCGCCGUGCAGCUU
This 81-nucleotide transfer RNA is filed under the name Xylophilus sp. RNAcentral describes it as "tRNA-Lys". Lineage: Bacteria; Pseudomonadati; Pseudomonadota; Betaproteobacteria; Burkholderiales. The record is from RNAcentral.